AUUGAACGCUGGCGGCAGGCCUAACACAUGCAAGUCGAACGGUAACAGGAAGCAGCUUGCUGCUUCGCUAACGAGUGGCGGACGGGUGAGUAAUGUCUGGGAAACUGCCUGAUGGAGGGGGAUAACUACUGGAAACGGUAGCUAAUACCGCAUAACGUCGCAAGACCAAAGAGGGGGACCUUAGGGCCUCUUGCCAUCGGAUGUGCCCAGAUGGGAUUAGCUAGUAGGUGGGGUAACGGCUCACCUAGGCGACGAUCCCUAGCUGGUCUGAGAGGAUGACCAGCCACACUGGAACUGAGACACGGUCCAGACUCCUACGGGAGGCAGCAGUGGGGAAUAUUGCACAAUGGGCGCAAGCCUGAUGCAGCCAUGCCGCGUGUAUGAAGAAGGCCUUCGGGUUGUAAAGUACUUUCAGCGGGGAGGAAGGGAGUAAAGUUAAUACCUUUGCUCAUUGACGUUACCCGCAGAAGAAGCACCGGCUAACUCCGUG
This 490-nucleotide ribosomal RNA is filed under the name uncultured bacterium. RNAcentral describes it as "partial 16S ribosomal RNA". It matches the Rfam family "Bacterial small subunit ribosomal RNA", at positions 30 to 507 of the family's 1533-position model. The record is from RNAcentral.